Long non-coding RNA from Gasterosteus aculeatus aculeatus (three-spined stickleback), 506 nucleotides. The record is from Ensembl. NCBI's taxonomy places the organism in Eukaryota, Metazoa, Chordata, Actinopteri, Perciformes, Gasterosteidae.
GAGGAAGGUACUGCAGGAGUACUAGUGGUAUUAUGCUGCAGGAGAUGAGGGUACUACAGUAGUACUAGUGGUAUUAUGCUGCAGGAGAUGAGGGUACUACAGUAGUACUAGUGGUAUUAUGCUGCAGGAGAGGAAGGUACUGCAGGAGUACUAGUGGUAUUAUGCUGCAGGAGAAGAGGGUACUGCAGUAGUACUAGUGGUAUUAUCCUGCAGGAGAUGAGGGUAGUACUAGUGGUAUUAUGCUGCAGGAGAGGAAGGUACUGCAGUAGUACUAGUGGUAUUACGAUGCACAAGAGGAAGGUACUGCAGUAGUACUAGUGGUAUUACGAUGCACGAGAGGAAGGUACUGCAGUAGUACUAGUAGUAUUGUGAUGCAGGAGAGGAGGGUGUUUUAGUAGUACUAGUGGUAUUACGAUGCACGAGAUGAGGGUACUGCAGUAGUACUAGUGGUAUUACGAUGCACGAGAUGAGGGUACUGCAGUAGUACUAGUGGUAUUGUGAUGCAG